This is a long non-coding RNA of Triticum aestivum (bread wheat), 1682 nucleotides long. RefSeq lists it as uncharacterized. Lineage: Eukaryota; Viridiplantae; Streptophyta; Magnoliopsida; Poales; Poaceae. The transcript is spliced from 3 exons. The record is from RefSeq and is a predicted model, not a curated record.
AACAAGCCCACUCCACGCCUCCUCGUCCACCACCUCGCCCGAUCCCCAACCUCCGGAUCUCCCCAGUCCCAGCGACGCCGAGCUCCCCCUGACCCCGCCUCCACCAGGCGUCGCCGCCCCCGCCCCCGCCCCCUUCAACUCCCGCCCCGCCGGCAAGCCGGGCGCCGCCAUGCCCGCCCUUCCCUUUGACCGAUCUCCUCCUUCCUCACCGUCGACGUCGUGGGAGCACCCAUCCCGCUGCCCAGACCCUAGCCAGUGACGCCGCCACCGCUACGCAGCCGCAGCCACGCCCCUGUCGACGGCGCCGCCGCAGCCCCACCCCCGCCGGCGACGCAACCGCAGCCCCGACCCCAGCCGAUGACGCGCAACACCACCUGCCAGAGCACCUCGUGGAAGCCCGAUCCAGCGAGGAUCCUUCACCACCCUCCACUCUCCGGUGACCACCAGCCCGCGUGCGGAUGGUGUGCUAUCCUGCAGAUCGAGGAGGCGUCGAACUUCAGAUGGAGGAGGCCACAACCUGCAGCUGGCCGCGCCAUGGUUGCGCGUCGCCGGCAUCCUCCGUCACGCUCGGCACCUCCUGAGCGUUGGAGUGAAGGGCAUUUUCUUCAGGGCAGUGGAGAGCACCCUCACCCUGAUCCCAUCUGCAGCAGCGCCCCGAGUCCUCCCAAAGCAGCCUUGAGCCGUUCAAGUAUGCAGCCCCGGGCCGUUCAACGACGGAGCUGCCGACCGUUCGUGAACACAACACCCCGGAUCCUGCUGCCCACCAUCCUGUAAAGGGAGACUUAUUGUGAAGACUUCAAACUGAGUACAGAAGACUCGAUUAAUUUUUGCUCCCUUCUUGAAAGGAAGAGGGGAGUUGGUUCUCUUUUGAGGUUGCGACUCGAUUAAUCGAUUAAUUACAGCUUAUUUUCGACCUUCCUGUGCUAGUAGAUCUUUUCCCAAUUCUGAUCUUCUUUCGGUUGCUGUUUGGAUUUAUUCCCUUCGCUCUUCUUCGACCGCGCUCAUAAAUACGGCCUUGUAAUCUUGUGGAAAGGAGCAGUGCAGUGCAUGUGAAUACAUAUGGCCUGAAGCUGCUAUAAUUGUCCAAAAUCCGGUGUUUGCUACUGCAAUCCGAGUGAAGUAUAUUUGGAAACAUGCCUGCCUCGAGUCUUCUACUCUGUCCUGAACCAGCAGUCCUCGAGGCAGGAUGUACUACUACCUGGACUCAUCUGCCCCGGAGGCACAACACGAACCAAGCCCCAUGUUUUUCAGUGACUGACUCAGUAGUCCUUGAUGGUCGAACAUCCGGCAGGUAGCCCGUACUGCACCACCAUAUCUUGCCAUCUUAUGAUCCCAGCAAAAUGUUGAAGUAAAACACACACCACCAGGAGGAGAGUAUAUGUCAAGGAAGGACUGGUGAAAUAGCAGGGCAAAGAUGCCACAGUAAUGCUGAGCCGGAGUGGUAGCGUGUGUGCGAGAAGACUCGUUUGUUUGGGUUGGGGAGCCAGCCGAGCCAACGCACACUUGGUGGACAGUCUAUCUGGUUCGUACGCCCGGCCAUGAUAUUGUGUCCGAAAAGAAGACUCAAAUGGGCACGUUCAACUACUGUGUCCCCAGCCAUGAAAACUUGUGGCCCGUCAUGGUCUCCUCACACCUAAACGGCUGCCAUUUUUCUAUUAGUGAAAUUUCCUCUGUUUUGGAUU